Molecule: long non-coding RNA, 1027 nt
Organism: Panicum virgatum (switchgrass)
Lineage: Eukaryota; Viridiplantae; Streptophyta; Magnoliopsida; Poales; Poaceae
Exons: 3
Source: RefSeq, a predicted model, not a curated record
CUAAACUUGAUUAGCAACUAUAAAUCCAGUUACUAACGGCGCUGGAGGGGGGGGCAGAAGUUCUUGCCCUCACCCGCUGUUCGUCUACAUCUACAGCAUCUGCGAGAACAGAGGCAUUCAUGGUGUUGCAAGGCUCUGUGAGUUAUGAGGGCUUUCUAAGCACCAUUGAGCCCUUUAAUGGCACCAACUUUCCUAAGUGGAAUAAAGAGGUGCGUCACACUCUCAAUGUUCUGGACUUUGAUUACACACUUUACUAGGACAAACCUAUCAAUCCUGCUAUAAACACUGAGAAUCAUAAUGAGCAAUUAAGGGAGUACAACUCCAAGUUGCAAAAUUGGAAAAAUCCAAUGAAUUUGCAAAAUUAGUUAUAAAACAUUCGAUCUCAUUUGCCAUAAGGGGAGCAUUUCCUUAUAAGAAGGAUGAUAGGGAACUAAGUGUUAAGGAGUUUCUGAACACUAUUGUGGAAAGUUAUAAAGUUAAUUAUUCCAACUUCAUUGUAUUGUCUACCUCACGUUAUGAUGGGCAAAGUGGACUAAGUAUACACAUUAAGAGCAUGUACAAUAUGGCUGCUGAGUUGAAAACACUUGGCAGGUUCAUCUCUAAUGAUCUGCUAGUGCAAUAUCUUAUGGCUUCUCUAUCGGAGAAUUAUAAUAAGCGUGCUCAAAAUGUGUAUACUCAAGUAAGAUGCAAGUUCUAUGAGUCACCUGAUCAAGUGAAGAAUCAAUGUCCUAAAUCUAAGGAAUGGAUUCAAAAGAAGGGUAUUAAGUCUGAACCAUAAGAUAAGGGAAGUUCAAGGCGAGCAAAGUCUCCUAAUGAUGAUGAAGACAAAAAUGUUAAAUGCUUCGCAUUAGUUUUAGCUAUUUGUUUAGCUUUAUUUUUCAUAUUGAUGAUAUCUCUUAGAUUAAGGAAAGCCAUAUUUAUUUCAGUGAUAAGUGAUCCUGAACCUUUUGUUUUGUUUUUAGAUAAUAAAUAUAUCAUCAUUGUUGAUUUUGCUAUUUGUCAAGGAAUUUUCAUAUAUAUUUCUUGU